CGUAGGGGACCAAGCGUUGUUCGGAGUUUACUGGGCGUAAAGGGCGCGUAGGCGGCAAAUUAAGUCAUCUGUGAAAUCUCCGAGCUUAACUCGGAACGGUCAGGUGAUACUGAUCUGCUAGAGUGCGAAGGGGCAAUCGGAAUUCUUGGUGUAGCGGUGAAAUGCGUAGAUAUCAAGAGGAACACCUGAGGUGAAGACGGGUUGCUGGGCCGACACUGACGCUGACAGCGCGAAAGCCAGGGGAGCAAACGGGAUUAGAUACCCCGGUAGUCCUGGCCUUAAACGAUGAAUACUUGGUGUCUGGAGUCUCUAUAGCUCCGGGUGCCGUCGCUAACGUUUUUAGUAUUCCGCCUGGGGAGUACGCACGCAAGUGUG
Molecule: ribosomal RNA, 375 nt
Filed under: uncultured organism
Description: bacterial SSU rRNA
Rfam family: Bacterial small subunit ribosomal RNA
Source: RNAcentral